AAAAAAAGUCACUUUCUGAUGGACCCAAAAACAUCAAGAUGUUUUGGAGACCCUGAGAAGAGAGGAACUCACCCAUUUUGCACAGGUCGUUCCAUCCUCAUGGCACCAAGAGGCACCUCCUCAGCAGCCCAGCACCCAGGCUCCUUCAUGCAAAGAUGCCCUUCUAUGAUUGUCUCUGUGCAGCUCCUGCCAGGCCUGUGCAUCUGCAGAUGCUCUCAGGCCACCCAGGGCCCCAGCAAAGGUUUGGGCAGCCGCAGACAGAUCCUCAGGCCUGGCCUAGAGAUGUGAAUUUUCAGACACCUGUCGCCAUCCACAGCUGCUCAGGCUAGUCCCAGAGGACCCCGGGUCUGGGCUUGCAGGUAAAAUACAGGAUGCCCUGCUGAAGUUCAGUGUCAGAUAAGCAAGAAAUAAUGUUCUAAUGUAAGUAAGCCCUAAAUGAUGUUGCAUA
This 448-nucleotide long non-coding RNA is filed under the name Homo sapiens (human). Its description in RNAcentral is "PREDICTED lncRNA (TCONS_00012400)". The record is from RNAcentral. Lineage: Eukaryota; Metazoa; Chordata; Mammalia; Primates; Hominidae.